This is a long non-coding RNA of Parus major (Great Tit), 4110 nucleotides long. RefSeq lists it as uncharacterized. The record is from RefSeq and is a predicted model, not a curated record. NCBI's taxonomy places the organism in Eukaryota, Metazoa, Chordata, Aves, Passeriformes, Paridae. The transcript is spliced from 2 exons.
CAUUGAAGCUUUACUUACUGUUUAACUAGUUUGAAAUGAAUCUGUUCUCUAGGCUUACAUCUGCAUUAAACUGCUAAUAGGAUUCAUCUUCAAUGUGGCAAUCGAACACUUCAUUCCCGUUCUGAACUGCUUUAAUGGCCUGGACUGCUAACAGGAAUCCUUCAACACAGAACACCUAUUUGAUAUUCUACCUACUGCUUCUCCAGCUACUCUGGGAUUCUUGCUAGAGAGAGAGAAGCAAAUUAGGCACCAAAUAGAGAGGCUUUCUAGGGCGUAUUAGAGGGCUUUAAUCAGUUAUCUUGCUAUCAGAAGAGAAAAUUUGCUAUUAAUUGGCAUGUAAUGACUGGCUAAUGACAUUUUCAUCUUUAACAGGUUUUCAGUUGCAUUAUCAAACUAAAAGUUGGCCAUCUAUCAUAGAAUAAAUUGCAUUCUUUGCAAGAAAGACGCUGGCUACCCCUUAAACUCCAAGAAUACCAUUAGUCAGGAGAAAAAAACUUGAGGAGAUAAUAGGAGAUAUUUGAUUGUUAGACCAGUGGAGAUUUUCAAUCAGUUUAAUGCCAUAUUUGAAUCCAAUAUCUGCCGUUAGUCCCUACAGUUCCUUGUUAUCACAUGGGUGUUGGAGAUUCCAAAGUUGAAAAAGGAAAAAAAAAGGCUUCAUUUUUACUCACCAUAAGAGACUUAAGUGGAUUACAAGCAUAAUUCUGUGAACUCUUACAAUCCAGAAAUUGAUCUAAAUUCCAGCACUUUACAUUCAUAUUAAACCACACUUUCCCCCCCUUACUACUAUAAUCUGCUUUGCUUUGUGUGUGUUCUAGACCAUCAGCCUCCCUGGGAACCUGGACAAUGUGACCUUGAAGGGCAAAGCUUUAAAAGAAGCCAUGGCUGACAGCAGAGCAAGGGUUGCUAUACACAGGGGAGAAAUGAGGCUAAAAAAGUACAAACCCAUUGCCCAUCCUGGGCCUUUCAGGAUCCCACAGGUGAGCUGGAAGAAAAAGGUUUCUAAUGACAUUCCCAGAUGAAGCUGAUGUGUUUCAGCUCACUUAGGAGAGGAAUGUCUCCCCAGUGCCCCACUCAGAAAAUACUUCAAGCCCCGAUGUCUCAGUGCAGCAUGUUGGCAGGCCGUUCCUGCUGGGACAGAGCACUGGGUAGGGGUGGCAGCAGGCACUGCCUGCUCUCCCCCCGAUUGGGAGUGCAUUCUUGGCCUGCCAGGCCACCAGCGAGGAGGCCCAGAGGGACAGGCAGGACUGGGACUUGGAGGGGUGCAGUGGUCACUGGUUUUAUUGUUUGUUUGUUUGUUUGUUUUUAGGUGGAAAUUUCUUUGUGGUUUCUUUGAGAAAGUGUUGAGCUUUAUUCUUUCCCAUUUUCUUUUUUUUUCUGUUUGAGGUUUCCUUACAACUUGUACUCCCAAAAUUAGAAAUGAUUCAGUUGUUUCCUGAUGUUUCCUGGUGAUACAGAUAGGCAUUACUGGUGUUUCAUAAGGCUUGUUCGAAACAGUCUGGUUAACACCAAUGGGACCCUUGGCAAAAUAGAGCCCUUGCAAACUGGCACCUUUGUUUGCAUGUAAAAUGCGAAUCCUCAUUUCUGCUUGAGUUUACACUAACUGCAUACAGUAAGGGAAAAUUACUAGAAAACAUCAGUACUCAGGACUGAAUUAUGUGGAAGCAUUGAAUAUAAUUAAGGAACAUGAGACUAUAUGCAAGGAAUCUCAGUGGGAUAGUCUGAAGAUCAAACAAGCAAUAGUUACUGCUCUCAGAAACAUGAGCAUUUAGCCCUUAUUGGAAGAUUUAACAUCAGAUCAAUUGCAUAAGUUAAGAACAUUAUCCUCUCCAGAGGUCGAAGAGUCCACAUGAGCCUGUCAUGAAUAUAAAUAAAAAUAUUCUUAAUUAAUUCAUUGGGUGUUCUGAAGUUCACAGAAAGUAAGAGUGUCGUCUGAAGCAAGAGACAUGAAAAAACAAACUCCUGACUCAUGGUGAUGUGAAGAAGAAAUAAAUCUACAGAAGAAAACACUGCUGACAAAAAAUCAGGGAAAUUGCUCUGGAAAAAUCAACAGAAAAAUAAUGCAACUUUAUAAAUGAAAGUACAGUUGUAACUCUGCCAGUAAUAGCAUAAUUUGCAGGUACCACUAAAAAAAAAUUGUAGUGGUCAAACACCCAGCACCACCUUAGAAAUCAAAUUACUUUGGGUUUUAUUUCCAUGUUAAUAGCUCCCAUAUCUCAUCAGAAAAGACAAAAGUGAGUAAAAUUAAGGAUUGAGUGUGUAUGCUACAGAUGGAUCUUCAGAAUGUAAAAAGAGAUAAAACUCAAGAAACAGGUACAGUCAUUAAAGAUAGCAUUGAAUUUAGCUCUUCGGAUUCUGAUAUAAGUAAAAAGCAUUUCAAGAAAAGCAAAAAACAACGAGGGAUAAUUAUGGACAGCUGUAAGAAGAAACACAGAGUGAUUUCAAAACCAAAGCAAUUAGAUUUAGAUGUUGAAUUGGGAAGAAUUUUGGGAAAAGGAAGUAAACAGCCAAGUGUGAGGUCUGCUCAAGAAGAGUUGGAAGAGGAAAGGGAUGUAACUAGACCAGACAUUUCAAAAAUAUACGAGAAGAACUUCCAGCAGAGCAAAUCUGAAGAGUCUACUUCAACCCAGUGCUGCCUGUGAAAGUGGUUGCAAGGUCUAUUGAUGAAAUAAUUGCUUCCCUGCAGUCUACUUCUCCAUCUCCCUCAGUCCAGAUGAUCAAAGAACUCCUGGAGAGUGUUCUUGGCCAGAAAUACAACGUAAAAUGGAACUAGAUGAACCAGAACAAGAGCAAUAUUUUUCUCUUGGGUAAAUAUUACUUUUAUAAGAGUUGUAUAUUUUUUUUCCAGCUCCUACAAUGUGUUACAACACAGAAGCCAGACAAAACAAAUGGAUAAAGACAUUAAUGUAUCAUAGAAUAUUCUUCACUCUUCUGCUAGAUGUUUAAUGUCCCUUAAAAAUGAAAAUGAGCCAAUAUCAAAAUACAUUGAAACAUUACAUCUUUUGUAGUGUCAUUUUUAUUAUACUGCUUAUACUCUAAAACAUAUUUUUCUUUAUUCUCCUUUCCCUUCUUAAGCUGACAUAUACCAGUAUGACAGAUGAAAAAUACAUGCGUUUGGAAUAUCAUUGGAAGUAUUGCUUCUUUUAAUUAUUGUUUAGCUUGUGAAGUCUUCAAAAGACAUUUUUUUUAUUGUCAUAGUUAUGUAAAUCAUGUAAGCUGCUGUAAGAGAGUUCCUUCAGUAAUCUUAGGCAUCAGGUAGAUGCUAGAGAAAACUUUCCUAGAUUUUCACCAGAAGUUUGCCAAUUUAUUUGUUAACUAAACAGUUGACUUAGUAUCAGAUGGCUUUCUUGUCCUCUCUAGGCGAGGCUGACAGUUUUGUUUCAGUUCCAAGACAGCUAAAACAUACAGAACUUUACAUUCCCUAAAUGUCAGAUUGACUCUUUUUUGAUUUAGUACAAAAACUAGAAGAGGAAAAAGCCCACCUGAACUAAGUUGAUUUAAAUGUGAAAGUCCAUGAGCACCAGUAGUAUCAAACUGCAUUUCGAGUAGAUUUAUGUCCUCUGCUUUGAUUUCCUUCUGAGACCUAUUUUGUGUCGUUGAGGCAUUUGCAGUGUCUCCACUUUCUGUACAUUUUAUGGUGUAUUUCAAUUGGCAUUGAAAUCAGAGAAGACUUUUCUCAGUGAGGCAGCAUUGGGAUGAUGUCUCUUCAUUGCUUGACUUGUAUUUUAGGGACAUAAUAAUUUGUGAGUUUGGUUGGAAUUUGUCAGUUGAAUUCAAAAAUUCUUCAGACAGAUGUGAAGAGGGUUAAAGAAAUAUUAGACCUGGAAAACUGUUGUUUAACUUACCAGAAAUAAUUAGAAGUGAUUGGUAAUGUGUGAAGAGUUGUGUGGUUUUCUUACUUUUUUAAUACAUUUGUCUUAUGUUCUAGGUAAGAUUUUGAAAGCUUGGCCUCUGCCAAGUCCUGAUACGUGAAAUGCUGAUUUUUGUUGCUUGUAGUGUUAACUGCUGGGCUCAGAGCUUUGAGAAACUGACUUGGGAUAAUGUGGUAUUUAGUUCUUUAUUUCUAAUAUUUGAGCAAUUUAGGUUAAAAAUAAAAUUAAAAUUUGAACCUAG